AUGAAGUUCAACCAUGAAAACCAUUGCUUAUCACAAAUAUUUUUAAAGAAGAGAAAGAACACAAAAAACACCGCACAACUAAUCAACACGUCAAAACAAUUCAACAUUAUAUGCAAUCUUGUACCCACAAGAACCUGUCCAUUUCAAUAAAGAAGAAAAUGUUUCUCCCAUCUCAUCA
This 178-nucleotide long non-coding RNA is filed under the name Monodelphis domestica (gray short-tailed opossum). Its description in RNAcentral is "lncRNA (ENSMODG00000035004.2)". Lineage: Eukaryota; Metazoa; Chordata; Mammalia; Didelphimorphia; Didelphidae. The record is from RNAcentral.